ACCAGACUCCUACGGGAGGCAGCAGUAGGGAAUCUUCCACAAUGGGGGAAACCCUGAUGCAGCGACGCCGCGUGAGUGAAGAAGUAUUUCAGUAUGUAAAGCUCUAUCAGCAGGGAAGAAAUAGCGACCUUUGGGUCGCCAGACGGUACCUGACUAAGAAGCCCCGGCUAACUACGUGCCAGCAGCCGCGGUAAUACGUAGGGGGCAAGCGUUAUCCGGAUUUACUGGGUGUAAGGGGAGCGUAGACGGCAGCACAAGUCUGAAGUGAAAUGCCGGGGCUUAACCCCGGAACUGCUUUGGAAACUGUGCAGCUAGAGUGCAGGAGAGGGAAGUGGAAUUCCUAGUGUAGCGGUGAAAUGCGUAGAUAUUAGGAGGAACACCAGUGGCGAAGGCGGCGUACUGGACUGUAACUGACGUUGAGGCUCGAAAGCGUGGGGAGCAAACAGGAUUAGAUACCCCAGUACAU
This 466-nucleotide ribosomal RNA is filed under the name uncultured bacterium. RNAcentral's name for it is "bacterial SSU rRNA". It matches the Rfam family "Bacterial small subunit ribosomal RNA", at positions 330 to 795 of the family's 1533-position model. The record is from RNAcentral.